Molecule: long non-coding RNA, 1370 nt
Filed under: Heterocephalus glaber (naked mole-rat)
Lineage: Eukaryota; Metazoa; Chordata; Mammalia; Rodentia; Bathyergidae
Description: lncRNA (ENSHGLG00000047224.1)
Source: RNAcentral
CGGCUGGGACGUUCUCCGCGUUCUGUCGCCAUCCCACAGACCCAGCCUGAGCAGGUGAGCGCAGGGCUGGCGCCUUUGUGUAGAAGCAGAGCGGGGUGGCAGGUGAGGAGGUGUGCCCAGCUGGAGCGCCACACCCCACCGGCCAGGCGGCUCAGAGUGAGCCGUGCACUCACCACUCCAAGGAACUUGGAGGCCUGCCUCGUGGAAUUCCUGCGCGGAGGUCCGGAAGGCAGGUCUGGAGCUGGCUUUGGCUUUGUGACUUUGGGAAUUCUUUCUGAAUUCCACCUUCCAUCGUCGCCCCUGCCCACCAGCCCAGGGAGGAGUCCCAGGGAGGAGGCCCAGUCCCGCUCCUGCUCCUGGUGAGAGCUGAGGGCCACAGCUUCUCUUCACGCCCCAGGAGCCCCAGGGGUGUCCGUCCAGCCCCUUCCCAGCUUGAGCUGAGCCCUGUGUGUUGGUGCCCCUCGGUGCUGGGGAAGUGGGAGAGUCCUGCCCCGGGAGCCCAGGCCAGUGGGCAGACACCUUAACGGAAGGCAGGUUGGGCUGCAGCCCUCUCCUGGCACUUGCGAAACCCUGGGCUUGAUCCCCAGCAUUGCUAAACAAUCAGAAAACCCCUCUGGCUCCUGGGAUGAGCAUGGGGAAAACAGAAGCCCUUGGAGGAGCCUUUGAGCACAGUGGGGUUGGAGUGGCUGCAGCUGCAGGCUGUGCACCCGCUGAGCUGGACUGGCUGCACUCAACCCCCCAGGGACCCUGCUGGCCAGGCCGGGUUGGCAGGGUGUGGGCCUUUGGGGGCUGCAGCUGGGCAAAUGCCCUUGAGACAGGCCUUGAGGUCAGGGAGGAACGGGGGCUGCAGCUGGGGCAGGGCUGGGGAGGACUGGGCACCCCCCGGUGGCCUGGGCAGGGGUGGCUGUGUGGUGAGAGGCACGGAGUGGCAGCGGUCUGCCCAGUGGGACUGGAGGACAGGGCCUCUAUCCGCCCUUUCCCGCAGCGGGAGCCCCAGAAGGAGGUGGAGGGGAGCAGUCCCACAUAACCGCCUCCAAUACUCUCUCUGAAGCAGACGCCAGUCCCGCCUCGGCCUGUGGCAGUCGGGCAGUGCUUGGGGAAGUCCUUUUCCACAGGCUCCUCUGAGCCUGCCAUGUGACACGCGUGUGACAACCACUAGCAUCUUCCAGGGCGGCAGCCAGGGCCGGGUCUGGCCCGGCACCAGCCCUCUUAGAGGGCGCACGGUCUGCGACUGGUGAAUCAGAGCCCAUGGCGUCCCUGUUUCCUGAGGAGUAAACAGGUCGGACCGAGGACCCUCUGGCUCAGUUUCCUGAGCGCAGAGAACACAAGGCCGGCCCCUCACCCCUGCGCCUUCCCACCCGCCCCUGGCG